Phoenix dactylifera (date palm) is the source of this 4397-nucleotide non-coding RNA. Lineage: Eukaryota; Viridiplantae; Streptophyta; Magnoliopsida; Arecales; Arecaceae. The record is from RefSeq and is a predicted model, not a curated record.
AUUUCCUUUUCAUUUCAAGAAUUCUCUCUCCGGGUUUGUUUUUAUUGUUUUUGUUUAGUAGAAUCUUCAAGAACCAUCUGAAGAAUUCGAUCAUAAUUCUUUUUUUAAUUAAUCUUUUCGCUCUAUAUUACAAUCUUAUGGCCUCGGUUUUUUCACCUACUUCUUGCAAGCCGAUAUCUUUUCUUUGAUUUCUACUGGGACAGUGUUUUCAACCUUAAACGCAUAUCCAUCUUUAACAGUUUUGGCUUUAAGGAUCGAGAUAUGAUCCAUGAAAGCGCGAACUUUUUAGAAAAUUUACGAAUGUUGGAUAUUAUAAUAGGUUCUUGGUAGGUCACUUGUUACCCUAGUGAAAAAGAUUUAAUACUAAGAUUGCUGGUGCAAGAGAUUCAAGAAAAUGAUUAUAAUUCGGUCUGCCAUGUUCUAGUUCAUAUGUAGUGGUUCAAUCAUACAUUAGAUAUGGAUCAUCCAAUAGCCAUUUUCUUGAAUUCAGCUAGUUCAUUUCUUCUCUUGAAUUUUUUUUUUGAAUAUAUAUGAAGGGGCUUUUCUUGAGCUGAAGCAUUUUCUUGGGUAGAUUUCUUUUCUUGGUCAAUAGCCAUUUACUUGAGUUGAUUUCUUGAGUUGGUAGCCAUUCUCUCAUGUCACUACUUAUCCACUAUGGUAUUUCAUAUGCACUGUUCUACAGCCAUUCGUGAGUUAAUGCCCAUGUUCCUGAGUCAUUAUUCCUAAGUGUGGGUUGAAUUACAAAUGGAUCAUCCAAUAGCCAUUUCCUGAGUUCAUAUAUAGUCAUAGAUACUGGUUGAAUUAUAUGGUGAAUGUGGGUUGUUCGCAAACUGUUUUCAUGUGUCGGCCUCUUUAUUGUAAUAUUAAAAUAGCUGCCCUUCUAGCAACCAAAUUAAAAUAACUAAUGCUAUUAAUUUUUUGUAAUAUUAACUAAUGCUAUUAACUAAGGUUCCAGGUAAUUGAGAAGAGAACCAUGUCCUGUUGUUGCUUGCUGAACCUUUUUGGGGGCCCUAGCUAUAGUUCUGUUCCUAUGAUUGUUUUCCAGCUGUGGGUAUUUUGUUGUUUCUUUAAUCAGUACCCAGCAAACAUCCUGCUACUCUUCUCUUGUCGGGGCUGAGGGUUAAAUCUCUGCCUUAUGUUGGGGCUGAGGGUCAGAAUAGAACAUCUUCUAAUCUUUCAGACUUUAGGGAAGAAACAAUUGAAAAAUCAAGCGAAUGCACGAUCUUCUUUUCCCUAUGUCCCUUCGGCCAUUUGUAAUAAACAAGGCCUAUUUUUAGCUAAUAGAGUUGGCAUAGGCAAGUAUGUAGAUUUCCUAGUUUCUUACUGUAGAUGUUUGUAGUCAUCAGUUCCUGAACAGGAGUUGCAGGGGUUUCCUGGAACUACAAUUGGAAUUCCUGAUUCUUCCUUUGUACCAUGGGCUUGAACCACUACUUACAACUAUACCAGGUUCACGGUUUGACAGUCAGAAGUAUCAGAAGGCAAACACUGAGGUUGAAUGCUAUUUCUAGAAGAUUAUAAUAUCUCUCUAUUUUCAUAACUCCUGUCUUGCUGUACUUGACCUUUUUAGCUUUAGUUUUCCCAAUAAUGGGGGCCUUGCCAAGGCUUGGAAUGAGGCUAACCGGGCUCCAGUUCUUCACCAAGUUAAGGACAAAGAAAGAGAAAAUGGACCUCACUUUUCCGAGUUGAGCUAAUUUAAGACCAUAUCUCUGGCUCUCACCUUUAACCCUCUUGGGAUGUUCCAGGUUGCAGAGAGGAAGUGGAGCUCACUCCUUCAAGUAUAAACAAAUUCAUAACCACAGCUCCAGGUCUCACCUUCAACACACUUGGGAUGAUUUCAACUUUUGUCAAUCUUGAUAUGGGAAGCCUUUGACGUGACUGACUACUCACAGUAACAAUCCUAUACACCAACAUGAGAGAAGAAUGUGUCAUACAUAAGCUUGUUAAAUCAUUUGUGAACUGCAGGGUUUUGUUCUGUCUUGCAGGGCUGCCACAGUGGUUGUUGUCUAUUUUCAUGCAUUUCUUAGUUGACAGUAGUUAUGCUGCUAUUCCAUUCUGUCCAGCAAAGCUCCAACUUCUUGGGAUGUCUGAAGGUGAUGAACAUCGAAUGCGUGAUUUUAACUUCAUUAUGGAAAGAAGUUUGUGGACAAAAGUGAUGAAAAUAUCAACAUACAAGUUGGUCAUUAAUCUUUCUAUGGAUAAACUUUUAUAAUUUGCUGCUUAGAAACUUGAUAAUAGUCUUGCUAAUUAGUUUCUGACAGUUUGUUUGAUGACUCUUGAUAUGUGCUCAAAUGAAGUCUUUGCCAUUAUGCGGCAUCAACUCUUCAUCUUGUAUAGCUGGGUUGAAUGUAAGGCAUCGGUAUACUGUAUACCACAGACUGGUAUCAAAUGAGGACACAUAAUAUUGGUGUCAGACAAAUUGCUGGUAUCCAAAUGAGCCAACAAGGGCACACUAUUGUCGUGCAUUUUUUAGAUGCAUGCAUAUAGUAAAUGCCGGUUCAACAAACCUUAAUUUGGACUAUUGUGUGGAAGCCUACCUACAUAUUAACUCUUCUCUCUGUCUCUAUUUAUAUAUGAGUGCGGUUAGAUUGCACAUUGUGAAAAAAGAAGAAUUUUACACCCAUCACCAAAUACGAUGUUGGUGGUCAAAAAAUAAAAAAUGUGAGCCAUUGGAUAUGAUGUAGAAGGCCUAGAAUAUCUAUAUACAAAAAGUCAUGAAUCAUGAUUUCUAGACCCUGGACUAUGCAUCAAAUUACCCCAAAAAAAAUGCACUAUAAUGUUCUAUUACAACUAUAUAUUUGGGGUACUUUAUAUGCAGACUAGAGAUCUGCAAGUUAGAUGAUUUUAAGUCUAAAUAUAUUUUAAAAGCUUCUAAAUCACAUCCAACAGCUUACAUUUUUCAUUUCUUGACCACUAAGUUGAAAUUGGUGACGAAUGUAGAGUCUUUUCUUUACACCUGGGUAUAUUAUCACCAAACCCUAUAUAUAUUUUUACAUUUAUGCAUAUAUAUAAGUCGAUCCCUGAUAAUUGAGACAAGUCUAGAUGAUCGUGAUUUAUUUAUUUGUAGAAGUUUGUUGCAACCAUUAGAUUGAGAUCUGGUGGCUCUGGACUAAAGGCUUUAAUGGUCAAAUGGAUCAGAAUACCUUCCACCAGCACCAAUCCAAUGGUUAACUGGGUCUCCACUUCUCCAGUCACAAUCAAAUGAGGACCUGUCCCCUCCAAUUUUCUGCCUUACCAAUUCUGUCUUAUAACAAAAAUCAUAAUAAUGUUUUAUUAUGAUUUUUAUUAUAUGACCUAUUAAAUCAGGCUGAAGUGAACAUUAGCCAAACUAACUUUUCUUCCUCUUGAUUUUCUCCAUCGUAUUUCUUCAGAAUAGACAGAUAAAGCUGAUUUAAUGUUUGAAUCCUCUGAUCCAAAGCUCCCCUGCCACUCAGCUAUUAACUAUCACAAUCUUUACGGAAAAGUUAAGUUUACUUAAAGCAAGGGAUUUUUUUGUCAAUUCAAAACAUUUUAGAAGCUUCAUACAAGAAUAAUAAUGUAAAAAAUAAUAGAUAUCUUAUGUGGAGUACUCAUACUGUAGAGACCCACGUUUGAGUUGGGCCGGCCUCUGAGAAGGGCGGCCCAACUCGUGAAAAUGGGGGAGGGAGUCUCCCGAAUCGAAAAGCUCCUCCCCUGUUUUUCGGAAGCCUUCCCCUCCUCCCGAAUCCACCGGGAAGGAGGAUCUUAGGGCGAUAAAAACCCUACCGAAUCAGGAAGAUCUCCUCUCUCUCUUCCCCUAGGGCAUCAACCGAGGGCUUCUACACACAGAAGGAAAAAAAAAAGAGAGAGGAAGAGAUCGGGUUUCUACCUUGCCAUGGGGAGGAUCGGAGCUUUCGCCGUCGAUCCGGUCGGGAGGACCUCGCCGGAGGCAAGGUGAGCAUCUUCUCCCUCUCCUCCAUCAUCUUUGGCCCUUAUCUCUUUGGGGAAUGAGGCCGGAAAGCUGCCGGGUUGAUGGAGAAGCCGACGCCUUGUUCGACCUUCUCCUCUCUCGUUCCGGCCGGUCGUCACCGGUCGGGGACACACCGCCGGCACACCGGCCCUGCCACAGGCCGACGACUAGGGGCAUCGCCAGCCGUGGGCCACCGGCGGCCGAACCCCCUUCUCCCCUUUCCGUCGGGAAGAAGGAAGAAGAGAGGAAGAGAGAGGGUCUUUCCCCUCUCUUUCUCUUAUUAUAUAACCCUUUUAUUAUAUUAUUUGUUUAUUUGUUGUUGGGUUUCCUUUUUACUCUUGGAUCCGGGAAGAUCAUGGCUUUAAGGACUCUAGAUAGACUUGGGAUGCUAGAUUUUAGAGGACCCUUUAGAGGAUUAAACAGGGAUCCUAGAUCAUCAUAUAUCUUUGAUAAAUUUUAAUAAUGACUUGGU